Molecule: non-coding RNA, 29 nt
Filed under: Rattus norvegicus (Norway rat)
Lineage: Eukaryota; Metazoa; Chordata; Mammalia; Rodentia; Muridae
Source: RNAcentral
UCAAUAGAGAUGCACUAUGAGACAGGCCU